UUCGUUAUAAAUUUUUUUUACAUCUAAUCAAACCUAUCAAGUAGGUCAUAUUCAGUAUAAUCAAUUCAAUCGUUUUCAUUUUUUAUGUUUUAACAUGUCUAUUACCUUUAUUAAAUUUGUUUUUAAGCAUAUUUGUUUUUAUUUUUUAUAUCGAAUUAAUAGAAUGAAUCAGAUUGAAGAUGAAGUUGCUGAAUUACUAAGAAAUGAUGACAAUAUUGAAGCAAG
Hydra vulgaris (swiftwater hydra) is the source of this 225-nucleotide long non-coding RNA. RefSeq lists it as uncharacterized. NCBI's taxonomy places the organism in Eukaryota, Metazoa, Cnidaria, Hydrozoa, Anthoathecata, Hydridae. The record is from RefSeq and is a predicted model, not a curated record.